GACGAACGCUGGCGGCGUGCUUAACACAUGCAAGUCGAACGGAAAGGCCCUGCUUUUGUUGGGUGCUCGAGUGGCGAACGGGUGAGUAACACGUGAGUAACAUGCCCUUGACUUUGGGAUAACUUCAGGAAACUGGGGCUCAUACCGGAUAGGAGCUCCUGCUGCAUGGUGGGGGUUGGAAAGUUUCGGCGGUUGGGGAUGGACUCGCGGCUUAUCAGCUUGUUGGUGGGGUAGUGGCUUACCAAGGCUUUGACGGGUAGCCGGCCUGAGAGGGUGACCGGGCACAUUAGGACUGAGAUACGGCCCAGACUCCUACGGGAGGCAGCAGUGGGGAAUAUUGCACAAUGGGCGGAAGCCUGAGGCAGCAACGCCGCGUGCGUGAUGACGGCCUUCGGGUUGUAAACCGCUUUCGCCUGUGACGAAGCGUGAGUGACGGUAAUGGGUAAAGAAGCACCGGCUAACUACGUG
RNAcentral lists this ribosomal RNA (468 nucleotides) under uncultured bacterium. RNAcentral describes it as "partial 16S ribosomal RNA". It matches the Rfam family "Bacterial small subunit ribosomal RNA", at positions 28 to 507 of the family's 1533-position model. The record is from RNAcentral.